Molecule: long non-coding RNA, 4584 nt
Organism: Zeugodacus cucurbitae (melon fly)
Lineage: Eukaryota; Metazoa; Arthropoda; Insecta; Diptera; Tephritidae
Exons: 3
Source: RefSeq, a predicted model, not a curated record
AAAAAUUUUACUUGUUUUAUGAGGAAGAUCUGCUGUUUUGAGCAUCAUUACUAUAUAUAUCCUGGGUCUCAUACCAUUCUAAUUUGAAUUUUUGUUUCGGCUGUUUUUUCUCUCAUACAUUAUUCUAUAAUCCAAAUUAUGUAAAAAAAACACGAUAAAUCGUGCUUUAUAUUCUACUCACGUGUUUAUCGAGAAAAUAAAAUUUAUACCCCAGUUAUCAACACUUUUUAGGACACUUUGAUAAUAUUCUGCAUGCUUGAGUUAUAUAAAUAUUAUCCAAUUUGGCUUAUUACCAACUGUAUAUUUUUGGAUAAAUUGCCCAUGACCGAAAUUCUUUUCCUCCAUAAAUUCAUCGAUUAGGUGACAUAAACCGCACCACGGCCGCCAAAAGAGAGAGGUAUUCCCUAAGUUGGUGAGUCGAUUAUUCAGCAAAAUCGUUAGUCGGCUGCUCUGUCUAUGGUAUUUAUCGUAGUGCCAUAAAUUUCUUUUUUUAAAUUUUUUUAUAUCGUUAUUAUUACUUUAUCGAAAAUUGUUGCCGAGUACACAUUGUAAAGAUGGCAUGAUUUUGAGGGCUCAUAAAUACUCCAUACAUAUGUUUAUACAUAUACUAAUGUAUUAAAUUAUAACAAUAUGUUAUUAUCGAUAAUGGACAAAUAGCAGUAAAUGAAAAACAACAAAUGUUUAAACCGAUAUUCUUUUAGAUGCUUUGAAGAUUUUUUGUUUUAGCUUUUGAGUGGUUACAUAAUUGUUUUUAUUUAUGUUCCACAAGUUCAUUUUUUCGUUGAGACUCAAAUAAUACUCCGUAUGAGUAAUAUUCUCCACAAAAGAGUUCCAGACACAGUUCUUUACAUUUAAAAGUGUUUCGCAAGUUAAUUUUUUGAUCGUUCUCCACAAAAGUAUUCCAGAAGUACAAUUUUUAUUCUUCUGAAACACAGUACUUUACAUUUAAAAGUGUUCCACAAGUUCAUUUUUUCGUUGAGACACAAAUAAUACUCCGUAUGAGUAAUAUUCCCUACAAAAGUGUUUCACAAGUUCAAUUUGUAGUCUUCUGGAACACAGUUCUUUACAUUUAAAAGUGUUCCACAAGUUCAUUUUUUGAUUGAGACACAAAUAAUACUCCAUAUGAGUAAUAUUCUCUACAAAAGUGUUUCACAAGUUCAAUUUGUAGUCUUCUGGAACACAGUUCUUUACAUUUAAAAGUGUUCCACAAGUUCAUUUUUUGUUUGAGACACAAAUAAUACUCCAUAUGAGUAAUAUUCUCUACAAAAGUGUUACAGAAGUUCAAUUUUUUGUCUUUGGAACACAGUUCUUUUCAUUUAAAAGUGUUCCGCAAGUUCAUUUUUCUUGAGACAUAACUAAUACUCCUUAUGAGUAAUGUUCUCUACAAAAGUGUUUCACUAGUUCAAUUUUUAGUCUUCUAGACCACAGUUCUUUACAUUUAAAAGUGUUCCACAAGUUCAUUUUUUGUUUGAGACACAAAUAAUACUCCAUAUGAGUAAUAUUCUCUACAAAAGUGUUACAGAAGUUCAAUUUUUUGUCUUUGGAACACAGUUCUUUUCAUUUAAAAGUGUUCCGCAAGUUCAUUUUUCUUGAGACAUAACUAAUACUCCUUAUGAGUAAUGUUCUCUACAAAAGUGUUUCACUAGUUCAAUUUUUAGUCUUCUAGACCACAGUUCUUUACAUUUAAAAGUGUUCCACAAGUUCAUUUUUUCGUUGAGACACAAAUAAUACUCCGUAUGGGUAAUAUUCUCUACAAAAGAGUUACAGAAGUUGAAUUUUUAUUCUUCUGAAACACAGUUCUUUACAUUUAAAAGUGUUCCACAAAUUCAUUUUUUCGUUGGGACACAAAUAAUACUCCGUAUCAGUAAUAUUCUCUACAAAAGUGUUUCACAAGUUCAAUUUUUAAUCAUACCGCUUAAUAUUAAACACAUUACUUGUGUUGGUUGCGCUCACUAAUUAAUAAUUUAAAGAAUUUCGUUGUUAUUUUAAGACCUCAUGUGUCAUCUACUUGUGUAAACAACGGUAAAAUUCCUUUUACAUGACUGCAGCAUUUUCUAUUUGCAGUGAUAUCAAUGUGAAUAAGCCGGCACACGAGCACUGCACGAAAUCUCAUUGGAUCAAUAACAAUCAAUAAUGAAACCAGUGCAAAUAUUUAGCAAAAAAUACGCAACGCCUUUCGGCAGCACACGGAAAAAAUGUCCAAUCAAACGAUAAGAAAAUACGUGAAAAAUUAAGUAAACACAUUUAACGCAAAGUAAUAAAAGUUCUGUUCUCAUGCUACUGCUUUAAUGUCUAAUUCAUUGUAACAAAAAUGCAUAAUUUCAACUUACCAGUCCCUCUAAUCUGCCAUUACGAAAGCACAAAUAUCGCCCAACUUGUUUGGCAUAAAGCGUAAUAAAGAAUGGAUCGCCAUUAAAUGGAUCACCAACAUUAUCCAUGGUUAUGGGCUCUGCAAGAAUAAGAAAAUAAAAUUGUUAGGUUGUAUGCAGCAUGAAGCACUGAAAGUAUUCGAUGGAGAGGACCUUACAAACAACGCAUGAGAGUUUCUUUGAGUGGAUUUUAGACGCUUGAUUUCUUUCGACUACGAGGAGCUUAAAUAUGGGCCGAACGAGCCUCAGAAAAUAUUCAAAUAUUUCGACUCAAAAAAUUUUAGAUAUUGAAGUACGGAGAUAACAGCUUUACCUUACCAUGGAUAUGUCUUCAAAUCUGAUUAGUGGAUUUGUAAAAAACUUUUCAGGCGAUAAUGAAAACACUGGGAACACCGCUGUCUACCGAGAAGUAAUCGUAUUACCUGAAAUGUGAAUAUUUUAUCACUUCGUCGUACAUUCCUUUUCAAGAGCACUCUUCACUUCAAGCCCGCUGAAAGUGAGAAAAUAUGAAGAAAAUCAUAAGUAUUUAUUUAUGUCCUACUGCUGUUAAGUACGUAGUGUGUUCAAAAAAUAACGGGAAUUGUAAGAUUAAGAAUUUCAAUGAUUUGUCUGUAGCAGCCGCUAGGAUGAGACGGGUUUUUAUGAGAGCGAUUUUCGGUUGUUAAAAGCUCACACUCCGUUGCUUGUUCGUGUAUACUUGUCCAAAAACAAUGCUGUAACGCGUGCCCAGCCUCAAUACUCGCUAGACAUGGCUGCAUGUGUCUUCUUCCUAUUGCCUAGAAUAAAGGGAACCUUAAAGCGCCUUCGUUUUACGAACUCACCAGAAAUCGCUGAACGAAAAUUCCCGAUAUUUUUUGAACCAAACCGUAUACCAAAACACACUUGUUAGUUAAUACAGUUCUCGCCCUUUGACUCAUCGAGCACCUUCGAAAUCGUCGGUUUGGCAUUUAAUAUACACGAACAGCGAAACCAUAAAUUGUCAAUUUGUUCGGCAUAUUAAUAUCAACAUCACAAAUCAUGUAUGGAAGGGAAGAUGACUCCUUAGGACUAGGGAACAGCAAAUAAUGCAAUGAAUGAGAGGAAAUAAAGGCAACUUGUUACCAAGCGCAACGAUAUGCCGAAUGGAUGCGCUGUGGAACAAGGCCGCAAAGUUAACUAAGCAAGCAAACGCGGCUACAUAUAGACACUUGUAUGUUGCGGUGCCGAAAUAUAGGUCUUCUGGCCAAAAAUGAACGCAGCAUAUUGUAAAAUGCCAUAUAUCGAAGGGAAACAUUCGUUGGAUGUCGUCGUCGCACCGCAUUGGCGCGUGAUUAGCAUUGGCACAGCGGGCAGGCCGACAAGUCCCGGUCGGUUAGAAGCGGCGCAGACUUAAAAUAACCCAAUCGCAUACGGCAAACGUAAGCGAUCAGGCGCUGCUUGUUUUAGUUGAAGCGCGAAGAAGUGAUUAUUACCAACUCAACGCGCCAAUUUUUUGCGCCAAAUAAAACAGUCUCACUUGCCUCUACCAUUCGUGGUGAGAAAGACAAGACGCGCAUGCGCAAAAGUGUACAUAAUUGGCUGUUGAUGCGCGCGCGAAGAUCACACUUGCACUUAAAUAUGCGCCUGCGCUGUGCAAAAGUAUGCGAUUAUGCUAUGUGUCUGCUUAUUUGGAUGCAAGCAUUGUGGCAUAUUCUCACACAGCACACAGCCACAUGCCGCAUGCAACAAAUUCAUAUGUAUGUAUGUACAAAUGUGUGAAAGCGCUCGCUUUCGUGUGCAAUAAUUAUGCACGGCUCAUAAAUUGUGCGCUGAUUCUGCGCGCGCAUGCAACCAAGUGCGCUCAAUGCGCAUGCGGCGCGUACGUGAAACACCAAAUAAAUCCACUAAAAUGGACAUUGAUUUAAAUAACAGCGAUUAAAGUUAAUCGCCUUUGACGGCAUAUUUUGCGCAUACGCAUCGCACACUCACAGACACAUACCCGCUUGGAAGUGAGAAAAUUGUCGGCUUUUAACAAGUUCAGCGCUGGAGCGUUCAAUGCCAAGACGGUGAUUUAUUGGGGGUGGAAAUCGCUAAAAAGCAACUGAAAAAAUCAGCAGGGGAAAACUAGAAUAAUAACUGAUUUAUUCUUAUAAGUAAAAUAUAGAAUUUUUGAUUAAUGUUGUUAAAAAGUAUGUAUUAUAAGUUAAAAUGUACACAAUAAUUAAGCGCAAUAUUUGUAAAAAUUUAAAUAAAAUAA